GGAGAGCUGUCCGAGUGGCCGAAGGAGCUUGAUUCGAAAUCAAGUAAGGGGGUGACCUCUUCUAGGGUUCGAAUCCCUAGCUCUCCG
This 87-nucleotide transfer RNA is filed under the name Chitinophagaceae bacterium. RNAcentral describes it as "tRNA-Ser". It matches the Rfam family "tRNA". Rfam says of the family: Transfer RNA (tRNA) molecules are approximately 80 nucleotides in length. Their secondary structure includes four short double-helical elements and three loops (D, anti-codon, and T loops). Further hydrogen bonds mediate the characteristic L-shaped molecular structure. tRNAs have two regions of fundamental functional importance: the anti-codon, which is responsible for specific mRNA codon recognition, and the 3' end, to which the tRNAs corresponding amino acid is attached (by aminoacyl-tRNA synthetases). tRNAs cope with the degeneracy of the genetic code in two manners: having more than one tRNA (with a specific anti-codon) for a particular amino acid; and 'wobble' base-pairing, i.e. permitting non-standard base-pairing at the 3rd anti-codon position. RNAcentral also lists the same sequence under 1 other name. The record is from RNAcentral. Lineage: Bacteria; Pseudomonadati; Bacteroidota; Chitinophagia; Chitinophagales; Chitinophagaceae.